GCUGGGCAUAGUGGCGCUCGCCUGUAAUCCCAGUGGCUCAGGAGGCCGAGACAGGAGGAUUGCGAGUUCAAAGCCAGCCUCAGCAAUGGUUAAACAACUGAGUGAGACCCUGUCUCUA
Molecule: small RNA, 118 nt
Filed under: Marmota monax (woodchuck)
Lineage: Eukaryota; Metazoa; Chordata; Mammalia; Rodentia; Sciuridae
Source: RNAcentral